Molecule: signal recognition particle RNA, 94 nt
Filed under: Micavibrio sp.
Lineage: Bacteria; Pseudomonadati; Bdellovibrionota; Bdellovibrionia; Bdellovibrionales; Pseudobdellovibrionaceae
Description: signal recognition particle sRNA small type
Rfam family: Bacterial small signal recognition particle RNA
About the family: The signal recognition particle (SRP) is a universally conserved ribonucleoprotein involved in the co-translational targeting of proteins to membranes. Archaeal SRP consists of a 7S RNA and homologues of the eukaryotic SRP19 and SRP54 proteins. In most bacteria, the SRP consists of a 4.5S RNA and the Ffh protein (a homologue of the eukaryotic SRP54 protein).
Source: RNAcentral
AAAGUUGGCCAUGGGCGACAUGCUUGCCAAUCUGGUCAGGUCCGAGAGGAAGCAGCCACAACAAGAAUUUUCGGGUCAUGCGUCCAGCUUUCCA